This 467-nucleotide ribosomal RNA is filed under the name uncultured bacterium. RNAcentral describes it as "partial 16S ribosomal RNA". It matches the Rfam family "Bacterial small subunit ribosomal RNA", at positions 29 to 507 of the family's 1533-position model. The record is from RNAcentral.
ACGAACGCUGGCGGCGUGCUUAACCCAUGCAAGUCGAACGGAAAGGCCCUGCUUUUGUGGGGUGCUCGGGUGGCGAACGGGUGAGUAACACGUGAGUAACCUGCCCUUGACUUUGGGAUAACUUCAGGAAACUGGGGCUAAUACCGGAUAGGAGCUCCUGCUGCAUGGUGGGGGUUGGAAAGUUUCGGCGGUUGGGGAUGGACUCGCGGCUUAUCAGCUUGUUGGUGGGGUAGUGGCUUACCAAGGCUUUGACGGGUAGCCGGCCUGAGAGGGUGACCGGCCACAUUGGGACUGAGAUACGGCCCAGACUCCUACGGGAGGCAGCAGUGGGGAAUAUUGCACAAUGGGCGGAAGCCUGAUGCAGCAACGCCGCGUGCGGGAUGACGGCCUUCGGGUUGUAAACCGCUUUCGCCUGUGACGAAGCGUGAGUGACGGUAAUGGGUAAAGAAGCACCGGCUAACUACGUG